AUUGAACGCUGGCGGCAGGCCUAACACAUGCAAGUCGAGCGGAUGAAGGGAGCUUGCUCCUGGAUUCAGCGUCGGACGGGUGAGUAAUGCCUAGGAAUCUUCCUGCUAGUGGGGGCUAACUUCCGGAAACGGGUGCUAAUACCACAUACGUCCUGAUGGAGAAUGAGGGGGAUCUUCGGACCUCACGCUAUCAGAUGAGUCUAGGUCGGAUUAGCUAGCUGGUGGGGUAAUGGCCUUCCAAGGCGGUGACGCGUAACUGGUCUGAGAGGAUGAUCAGUCACACUGGAACUGAGACACGGUCCAGACUCCUACGGGAGGCAGCAGUGGGGAAUAUUGGACGAUGGACGAAAGCGUGAUCCAGCCAAGCCGCGGGUGUGAAGAAGGUCUGAGGAUGGUAGAGCGCUUUAAGAUGGGAGGAAGGGAAGUAAGUUAAUAACUUGCUGUUUUGACGUUACCAACAGAAUAAGCCCCGGCUAACUUCGUG
RNAcentral lists this ribosomal RNA (484 nucleotides) under uncultured bacterium. RNAcentral's name for it is "partial 16S ribosomal RNA". It matches the Rfam family "Bacterial small subunit ribosomal RNA", at positions 30 to 507 of the family's 1533-position model. The record is from RNAcentral.